GGGGAUGUAGCUCAGUGGUAGAGCGUAUGCUUUGCAUGUAUGAGGCCCUGGGUUCAAUCCCCAGCAUCUCCA
This is a non-coding RNA of Chelonia mydas (Green sea turtle), 72 nucleotides long. The record is from Rfam. Lineage: Eukaryota; Metazoa; Chordata; Testudines; Cheloniidae.